AGCAGUCGCCGCGGGAAUACGUAGGUGGCAAGCGUUGUCCGGAAUUAUUGGGCGUAAAGCGCGCGCAGGCGGAUAGGUCAGUCUGUCUUAAAAGUUCGGGGCUUAACCCCGUGAUGGGAUGGAAACUGCCAAUCUAGAGUAUCGGAGAGGAAAGUGGAAUUCCUAGUGUAGCGGUGAAAUGCGUAGAUAUUAGGAAGAACACCAGUGGCGAAGGCGACUUUCUGGACGAAAACUGACGCUGAGGCGCGAAAGCCAGGGGAGCGAACGGGAUUAGAUACCCCAGUAGUCCCUGUCUCUUAUACA
RNAcentral lists this ribosomal RNA (303 nucleotides) under uncultured bacterium. RNAcentral's name for it is "partial 16S ribosomal RNA". It matches the Rfam family "Bacterial small subunit ribosomal RNA", at positions 507 to 809 of the family's 1533-position model. The record is from RNAcentral.